GAUGAACGCUGGCGGCGUGCUUAACACAUGCAAGUCGAACGAAGCACUUUAUUUGAUUUCCUUCGGGACUGAUUAUUUUGUGACUGAGUGGCGGACGGGUGAGUAACGCGUGGGUAACCUGCCUUGUACAGGGGGAUAACAGUUGGAAACGGCUGCUAAUACCGCAUAAGCGCCCAGCAUCGCAUGAUCCAGUGUGAAAAACUCCGGUGGUAUAAGAUGGACCCGCUUUGGAUUAGCUAGUUGGUGAGGUAACGGCCCACCAAGGCGACGAUCCAUAGCCGAACUGAGAGGGUGACCGGCCACAUUGGGACUGAGACACGGCGCAAACUCCUACGGGAGGCAGCAGUGGGGAAUAUUGCACAAUGGGCGAAAGACUGAUGCAGCGACGCCGCGUGAGCGAAGAAGUAUUUCGGUAUGUAAAGCUCUAUCAGCAGGGAAGAUAAUGACGGUACCAGACUAAGAAGCACCGGCUAAAUACGG
Molecule: ribosomal RNA, 480 nt
Filed under: uncultured bacterium
Lineage: Bacteria
Description: partial 16S ribosomal RNA
Rfam family: Bacterial small subunit ribosomal RNA
Source: RNAcentral